RNAcentral lists this ribosomal RNA (449 nucleotides) under uncultured bacterium. RNAcentral describes it as "partial 16S ribosomal RNA". It matches the Rfam family "Bacterial small subunit ribosomal RNA", at positions 355 to 796 of the family's 1533-position model. The record is from RNAcentral.
UGGGGAAUUUUGGACAAUGGGGGGAACCCUGAUCCAGCAAUGCCGCGUGUGCGAAGAAGGCCUUCGGGUUGUAAAGCACUUUUGUCAGAGAAAAAAAGGUAGUUACAAAUAAUGACUGCUAAUGAUGGUAUCUGAAGAAUAAGGACCGGCUAACUACGUGCCAGCAGCCGCGGUAAUACGUAGGGUUCGAGCGUUAAUCGGAAUUAUUGGGCGUAAAGAGUGCGUAGGCGGUUAUAUAAGAUAGAUGUGAAAUCCUUGAGCUUAACUUGAGAACUGCAUAUAUGACUGUAUAACUAGAGUGUGUCAGAGGGGGGUAGAAUUCCAUGUGUAGCAGUGAAAUGCGUAGAGAUGUGGAGGAAUACCGAUGGCGAAGGCAGCCCCCUGGGAUAACACUGACGCUGAGGCACGAAAGCGUGGGGAGCAAACAGGAUUAGAUACCCCCGUAGUCC